Molecule: long non-coding RNA, 530 nt
Filed under: Lactuca sativa (garden lettuce)
Lineage: Eukaryota; Viridiplantae; Streptophyta; Magnoliopsida; Asterales; Asteraceae
Description: long non-coding RNA (LSAT_LNC006864)
Source: RNAcentral
CUUAAGUCCGUUUUUCGCGUAGACUUCCGUUCUUGGGCUAUUUUUCGCCAAAUUCGAGGGUCGGGAUGCCCCGAGUGAUUAUAGAAAGUUGGGAGAGAUUUCGAGAGAGAUUUGAGAGAGAUUCCUCGUUCUCAGAGAGAUUUGGGAGAGAUUUGACGUACUUGGAGAGAUUUCACAUACAAAGAGAUAUUUGAGAGAGAUUUCACAUUCUUAGAGAGAUUUGGGAGAGAUUUGACAUACUUGGAGAGAUUUCACAUACAAAGAGAUAUGUGGGAGAGAUUUCACAUACUUAGAGAGAUUUGGGAGAGAUUUGACAUACUUGGAGAGAUUUCACAUACAAAGAGAUAUGUGGGAGAGAUUUCACAUACUUAGAGAGAUUUGGGGGAGAGAUUUCACAUACUUAGAGAGAUUUGGGAGAGAUUUGACGUACUUGGAGAGAUUUCACAUACAGAGAGAUAUUUGGGAGAGAUUUCACAUACCUAGCGAGAUUUGGGAGAGAUUUCACAUACUUAGAGAGAUUUGGGAGAGAU